AAAUUGAAGAGUUUGAUCAUGGCUCAGAUUGAACGCUGGCGGCAGGCCUAACACAUGCAAGUCGAACGGUAACAGGAAGCAGCUUAGCUGCUUCGCUGACGAGUGGCGGACGGGUGUAGUAAUGUCUGGGAAACUGCCUGAUGGAGGGGAUAACUACUGGAAACGGUGGCUAAUACC
Molecule: ribosomal RNA, 177 nt
Filed under: Salmonella enterica subsp. enterica serovar Paratyphi B str. SARA56
Lineage: Bacteria; Pseudomonadati; Pseudomonadota; Gammaproteobacteria; Enterobacterales; Enterobacteriaceae
Description: partial 16S ribosomal RNA
Rfam family: Bacterial small subunit ribosomal RNA
Source: RNAcentral